GUGUUUGCUUUGGCAGCACAUAUACUAAAAUUGGAAUGAUACAGAGAAGAUUAGCAUGCCCCCUGCACAAGGAUGACACGCACAUUCAUGAAGCAUUCCAUUUUUUU
RNAcentral lists this small nuclear RNA (107 nucleotides) under Salvator merianae (Argentine black and white tegu). The record is from RNAcentral. Lineage: Eukaryota; Metazoa; Chordata; Lepidosauria; Squamata; Teiidae.